RNAcentral lists this ribosomal RNA (353 nucleotides) under Spilogona sp. JFG-2010. RNAcentral describes it as "partial 12S ribosomal RNA". Lineage: Eukaryota; Metazoa; Arthropoda; Insecta; Diptera; Muscidae. The record is from RNAcentral.
UAAAAAUGUAUUAAAAAAUUAAGGUAGUAAUAGUUAUGUUCUUGAAAUUUAAAAAAUUUGGCGGUAUUUUAGUCUAUUCAGAGGAACCUGUUUUAUAAUCGAUAAUCCACGAUGGACCUUACUUAAUUUUGUUUUCAGUUUAUAUACCGUCGUUAUUAGAAUAUUUUAUAAGAAUGUUAAUUUUCAUAAUUUUAAAAAAGAAAGUAUAUCAGAUCAAGGUGUAGCUAAUAAUUAAGUAAAAAUGGGUUACAAUAAAAUUAUUUAAAUGAAUAUAAAUUUGAAAUAUUUAUUGAAAGUGGAUUUGAUAGUAAAAUUAUAAAGAUUAUUAAUUUGAUUUUAGCUCUAAAAUAUGU